Molecule: ribosomal RNA, 249 nt
Filed under: uncultured bacterium
Lineage: Bacteria
Description: partial 16S ribosomal RNA
Rfam family: Bacterial small subunit ribosomal RNA
Source: RNAcentral
AGAGUUUGAUCAUGGCUCAGAUUGAACGCCGGCGGCAUGCCUUACACAUGCAAGUCGAACGGUAACAGGUUAAGCUGACGAGUGACGAACGGGUGAGUAAUAUAUCGGAACGUGCCCAGUCGUGGGGGAUAACUGCUCGAAAGAGCAGCUAAUACCGCAUACGACCUGAGGGUGAAAGCGGGGGAUCGCAAGACCUCGCGCGAUUGGAGCGGCCGAUAUCAGAUUAGGUAGUUGGUGGGGUAAAGGCCC